Long non-coding RNA from Chelonia mydas (Green sea turtle), 2331 nucleotides. RefSeq lists it as uncharacterized. Lineage: Eukaryota; Metazoa; Chordata; Testudines; Cheloniidae. The record is from RefSeq and is a predicted model, not a curated record. The transcript has 3 exons.
AGAGGCAGCCCAGAGAAGCAUUUGGUAGGAAAAACUUAUUAAGAAAACAUCUUAACAAAGCAACACAACUCAUGGCCAUCACCCCUGAAGCCUGGCCAGGCCCCGUGGGCACCAGGUGAAGCAAAGGACAAGAGAGUCACAUGGGAGCCAAAGGGCAGGGAUGGAGCAAAGCCAGCACCCGGCCACGGGGAGCAGCCAGCAGCCCUGGGGGAAGCAGGAGCUCCCUCCAAACUGUCAUUAGCGUGUCCUUGCAUCAGGCUGCUCGUUCACAUGCCCACGGUGGAUCAUGCUGCCAGCACUCAGCCCAGUCAUGUCCCAGUUCCUGCAGUCAGGGGACACAUCUCGGAGAAGCAGCAGUGGGCGCCAGCAGUGUCCAUGGGAGAUGGUGGGGGCAAGUCCUUCCAUCAAUGGGGUGCCAGGGGAGGGCACGGCGUGUCCGGGCUGGAGCUGACUGUCCCUUUCACUGGAAAGCUUUCCCGGGCUGUCGGCUGGCCAGCUCUCUCCUGACGCUGGCUCAGCAGGGGCCGUUCAAUUGCAGAGUUCAGCAGGUCGUCAGAACAAACGUUUCCAAUACAGCCCAGUUUGGGGAAAAGCAAAUGGGCAAACGUCGCUUAGAGCGAAGCCCAGCCCGCCCAGCGCCUUGCACAGAUCACACCAGCAGCAUCCGCAGGCAGCUCCUUGGUUGGGGACGGUGAGUCCUAAGGUCCUGGGCUGGGUGUCCAGAAGCAGACGGCAGUGGCUCCAGCUGAGUUCCUUUAGCGCCAUGCGCUGGCCUGGAGACCUCCCCGGCAGCUGGAGCGGGGACAGUAUAGGCCUUACUGCUCUGCGUGCCACAGACCUGCUCCGCAGCCCCACCUCGGUCCACGGGCUCGUCACCCAGCCCAGGUGCCUCCUUCCGUCGCCUAGCCACCCGCGGAGAGAGCUGUGACAGGAAGUCAGGGUCUGUAGUGAGACUGUGAGGCCCUUUGCAAAGCACCUGGCUAGCACUGGUUGGUGAGCACGCAGGACUCAGGCUGCCCCAGCAUCUGUAAUCUGCACAGCAGGGCCUGGGGGCUCAGCCCUGAGCCCCAUCCCUGUCCCAUACCAAGGUCCCAGGUGAGGCAGCGCCUGGGGAAAGGGUGGAUGAGCUGCUGGUGGCGAGAGAAGCCCCCCCCCCGCCCAUCUGCCAGUGAAGCAGCUGCCUCCCUCUCUCCUGAGAGAGCACUGUCCCCCUCCCCCCAGGCUGAGCAGCCAGGAGCAGCCUCACUGGCAAAAACCAACAGCUGGCUUCGGUCCUGCUGCCUCCCUCUCCAGCCUCCAUCCACUCCUCCCACAGGGCCCUUCGCACCCUGGGCUCCUGCAGAGAUGCUGGCCCUGCGUGGGGAAGGCCUGGGAGUACAGCUAAGUCCCUAGAGAGGGCAACAUUGCACCUUCCUUAAGGUGCUGGGUACCUGCCUGGCCACAGAGCUCCCUGGGCUGUUCUGCAGAGGCCUGGCCUAGCUGCGGGAGCUUGGAGGUGACUACAGCUCCCUCAGCCUCUGCUCCCUGUGCUGCCCCACUAGGGCUCGGACUAGGAGGGCUGGCUCCAUGGAGGAGACAGAGCUCAGCCACGGAUGCGUGGGCCUCUCUGGUCUGCACUUGCCCAGCAGCACCAGAAAUCGGCACCAAUGCCAGGUACUGUGGGACCCUUUCCACUCUGGAGAGGAUGCUGUCUGACAAGGCUCAAUGAGGCAGAUGACAGGGCAAUGGGGUCAGCUCAAGGGCUCCCCUCCAGGCUGAAGGGGCAAUUAGGCGGCGCAAAGCUGCUCAAGCAGCUACCAUGGGCAGUUCAGUGUCAGGGUCUUGUCAACUGUUGCCCAGCUCAGCUGCUUCUGCCCUCUGGCCACAGGAAUAAUUCACCUUCUCCUGGGUCCCUCUGGCCCCAUAUGACAGCCCCUGGGAAAGUGAGCACCCGAGAGCUCCCUCAGGACCCCAAAGCAUGGCCUGUCGUGAUCUCAGGGUGACUCAAUGGAGAGUUUUAUUGUAAUGUCAAAGCCUUAAGAGCAGGUCACAAGCAUGACAAGAGGCAGGGAGUGUGUGGGGAAGGAUCUAAGGGUAUGUACCUGGUAUGGGGGAGCAGAGCAGGGGGCUCAGGAGGUAUAUGAGGCAGAGGGUGUCUGGGGCAGGGGGCUCAGGAGGUAUAUGGGGCAGAGGGUGUGUGGGGCAGGAGGCAGAGCAAGGGGCUCAGGAGGUAUAUGGGGCAGAGGGUGUGUGGGGCAGGGGGCAGAGCAGGGGGCUCAGGAGGUAUAUGGGGCAGAGGGUGUGUGGGGCAGAGGGCAGAGCAGGGGGCUCAGGAGUAUAUGGGGCAGAGGG